UACGAAGGGGGCUAGCGUUGCUCGGAAUGACUGGGCGUAAAGGGCGCGUAGGCGGAUGGUACAGUCAGAUGUGAAAUUCCUGGGCUUAACCUGGGGGCUGCAUUUGAUACGUGUUGUCUAGAGUGAGGAAGAGGGUCGUGGAAUUCCCAGUGUAGAGGUGAAAUUCGUAGAUAUCGGGAAGAACACCGGUGGCGAAGGCGGCGACCUGGUCCUUUACUGACGCUGAGGCGCGAAAGCGUGGGGAGCAAACAGG
Molecule: ribosomal RNA, 253 nt
Filed under: uncultured bacterium
Lineage: Bacteria
Description: partial 16S ribosomal RNA
Rfam family: Bacterial small subunit ribosomal RNA
Source: RNAcentral